Long non-coding RNA from Populus nigra (black poplar), 1307 nucleotides. RefSeq lists it as uncharacterized. Lineage: Eukaryota; Viridiplantae; Streptophyta; Magnoliopsida; Malpighiales; Salicaceae. The record is from RefSeq and is a predicted model, not a curated record. The transcript is spliced from 2 exons.
UCCCAAAACAGCGUCGUUUGUAAGAACGCUGUUCAUCUUCUUCUUCUUUAACCAAAGACCGUUUCCAGCAGUAAAGGGUAGUAAUCAUCCGCUCACCUCAGUUAUGAACAUUUUAAUGUUGUCGUCCCUCUGCAUGCCAUCCGUUAACACCGAUCGGACUCUAUAAAACAGAGGAACAACGAAGAAAAAGGGGCGAAAAAAAUCCAGGAGACAAAAGGAGGAAGAAGAGCAGACUUGCAUUCCUCUGUUUCUUCUCAAAGAAACAGAGGAGGCUAAAGAAAAAAGCCACGAACAGGGGGAAAAGGAGGAAGAAAAAGGCAGUGCCAAGGCUGAACAGGGAGAAAAACCGGGGGGGGGGGGAAGCUAAGCCCAGACACGAAAAACCAGGGAGAGACCGGAGAAAAAACUGCUGAAAAACCAAAGCAGAGAAUACACGAAGAAAAGCCAGGGGAAGGAGACAGAGACAGAAACAGGGGAGGAGAACAAAAAGCCAACGUACCCCAGCUUCGCCUUCAUCUUCAAGAACACAAACAUAGUGAGCAGACGAAAAACCAGAGAAGAAAAACGCAAACAAAACCAGAGGAAGAAGCUUAAAAAAACAAAGAGAGGACCGACAUCACCACCGACUGCCUCUUCUCCAGCACCAGCUUCCAAAACCAAAGGAAGAAGCUAAAAAGGAGAGAGGAACAAGCAGCUGACAGAAGGAAUACACCGAUAGAAAGGAAACGAACGAACACAGGGAUCUUGAGGCAAGGAUAGACGACCAAGAAAGACUGAAAAAAAAUCUGGAUCGCCAUUUCCAGCUCCAGAUCAAAUCCCAGUUGAUCUCUACGACACCAUGAGUGCUGUAACUAUACGACCAAAAUGGUUGUCCUUGGCAGCAGCCGCUCAUGGAAACGGCAUGGAAGAGGUGGGUUACCCUCGUGAAUGUCUCAAGAAGACAUCCCAGCGAAUUUGAAGAUUGCUUGUAAAUCUUGAGCUCAGUUCUUUUCAGAUGAUGAGUGGAAUGGAUAUAACAGUUUAAAUACGUAAUAGGAAGUUCCAAAACUUGCUAUAGAAGUCCUCUAAUGGCUAAUGGCUAUCGAAUUUUAUGCAAUUUCUCAUCAUUAUUUUGAGUACUGAAUAGGAAUGGAAGCUAAGCACAGUAGAUCGAUAAGACACCAAAGCUUUGUUCCCCUUGUAAUAAAAUCAAUAAAACAAGCACAUAUGGAUCGCAUCCAAUGCCAAACACAGGUGUUCGUGGGGGACAUAUCCUUGGCAACUUGAUCCUAGGCAUAAAUUUUUUGUUCUCGUGUUUCUUUUUUUAA